CAAACCACUUAUAAGACCCUUCUGGGGCAAAAUCCACACCAGUUGCAUCAUCCUUUCCUCCCAAAACAUCUCAUAGAUUAUGUUUUACCUCACGGGCACCCUAUGGUCUCCUGGUGAACGAGCUUGGGUGAAUUUAAUGAACAAGCCCUGAGUGGCUUUGGAAUCCUUGCAAAGUUCUUGGUUUAGAAACAACUGAGAUUUUCAGAUCUAAGAAAAGAUAAAUAUAAAAAAUUGAAAGCAAAAUGUCAUUUCUUGAAGGCUAAAAGCUUCAUAGAAACCUAAAGGAGUUAGAGAAGGAAGAUCUCUCAAUGGAAAUGCUAAGAAGAGACACAAGGAAAGACACAUCACUAAGGAGAGACCCAAGGAAAAUGGCUCUAUGACUACAGUCCAUUUAAAGAAUGAGGGCGUUCCUUCUACCAAGUUACAGGUGGAGAUGUGUUUACCUGCUGGAUACCAAUGCUUCUAGCAUCAGGGAGAAGUUGAGCCCUGGAGGAAACAUUGCCUCUAAGUUUGUGUUCUG
This 520-nucleotide long non-coding RNA is filed under the name Homo sapiens (human). RNAcentral describes it as "HSALNT0211159". The record is from RNAcentral. Lineage: Eukaryota; Metazoa; Chordata; Mammalia; Primates; Hominidae.